Molecule: long non-coding RNA, 416 nt
Organism: Lates calcarifer (barramundi perch)
Lineage: Eukaryota; Metazoa; Chordata; Actinopteri; Centropomidae
Exons: 4
Source: RefSeq, a predicted model, not a curated record
AUUUGUACUAAUGACCAGGUAACCGUCGAAGUCCAGAACACACAGUAGAUGACAUCAGUGAUCUAACCUAUGAGACAUGAUGGGUGGAUGGACACCAAAUGAGGGACAAGUCACUGGUGCUGAGUUUAUCAACAGGUUGUGAUUCUGCGCUGAACUGGUCACACCAUCGGUCCAGCUGCUCCUCCUGCCUCCAGCAGACGCACAUUUUCCCAGAGGUCCAUGCAGCCCAGCGGUGUCCUGAAGUUACCAGGACUGCGGGAUGUAUUGUGACAGACUUUAAAUGUGAGGAAGAGGAGCCCUCAUCACCCAUCACCUCUGUGAGAUGAAAGGCCCCGAAAGCAGCUAGCCACCCUGCUGGACACAGCUCAGCUGUUAUAAGAAGUGUUUGACAGGAGUGGCAGGUACUUGACCUUCUC